AACGAACGCUGGCGGCAUGCCUAACACAUGCAAGUCGAACGAGACCUUCGGGUCUAGUGGCGCACGGGUGAGUAACGCGUGGGAACCUGCCCUUAGGUUCGGAAUAACUCCCCGAAAGGGGUGCUAAUACCGGAUAAUGUCUUCGGACCAAAGAUUUAUCGCCUUUGGAUGGGCCCGCGUUGGAUUAGCUAGUUGGUAGGGUAAAAGCCUACCAAGGCGACGAUCCAUAGCUGGUCUGAGAGGACGAUCAGCCACACUGGGACUAAGACACGGCCCAGACUCCUACGGGAGGCAGCAGUGGGUAAUAUUGGACAAUGGGCGAAAGCCUGAUCCAGCUAUGCCGCGUGAGUGAUGUAGGCCUUAGGGUUGUAAAACUCUUUUACCCGGGAUGAUAAUGACAGUACCUGGAGAAUAAGCUCCGGCUAACUCCGUG
RNAcentral lists this ribosomal RNA (433 nucleotides) under uncultured bacterium. RNAcentral describes it as "partial 16S ribosomal RNA". It matches the Rfam family "Bacterial small subunit ribosomal RNA", at positions 29 to 507 of the family's 1533-position model. The record is from RNAcentral.